Molecule: long non-coding RNA, 8878 nt
Organism: Medicago truncatula (barrel medic)
Lineage: Eukaryota; Viridiplantae; Streptophyta; Magnoliopsida; Fabales; Fabaceae
Exons: 5
Source: RefSeq, a predicted model, not a curated record
UCGAAAUAGCGCAUUCUACGCUCCUCUCGUUUGUUCUCUCUUUCUCUCCUUUCUUUCUUCUUCCUCUUCUUUUCUGUUCAAUUUGAUUCAUGAUUUUGAUUUCUCGAUUCUAAAGAUUUGCAUGUUCGUUGUUCAGACUUCUUUGAUCGAUAGAUAUGGAUUUGCGUUUAUCGGAUUGCAUAGAUAUGAAGAAUUUCACACUUUUUUAUGGAUCAUCGUUUAUCGAGAAUUAUUUGUUGUGUAGUUUUUGAAUUAUUGGAUGUAGUUCUUCAUAAUUGAAUAAAUCGAUACAUGUGUUUAUCGGUUUUGCAGCGAUCGUACGUUUGGAAUCUGGAUAUGAGAACGAAGAACGCCAAAAUCGCUCGAUGCUCGACCUAUCCCUAGUUUAUGGAUCAUCGGUUAUCAAUUAUUAUUUGAUUAUUUAUUUGAUUAUUGGAUAUAGUUCGUCAUAAUUGGAUAAUAUCGAUGUCUUUAUCCAUUAUGCAGUGAUCUUAAGUUUGGAAUCUGGAUCGUUUUGCUAUUCAUAUGAGAACGGAGAACAAAGAAAUCGCUUGCUCAAUGGAUCAUCGGUUAUCAAUAAUUAUUUGAUUCAUUAUUUGAUUAUUGGAUAUAGCUCUUCAUAAUUCGAUAAUGCAGAUAUGUUCAUGGUUUUGUAGCAAGGUGAACAUUUUGAGAUUCUUGAUUCAACGGAUAUGAACAGAGAACGGCACCAGAUAGAUGAAUCAAAUUUCUUCAAUGAUUUGUAUUUAUGAUUUUUACUUCUUGGCUUUGAUUCCAUGGUGGUCAUAAGAAUUGAUAUGUGAAUAUGUUUUUCUGCAGCGUGGUUUAUCAAAAUAUGAAUAACAUGGAGCCUGGAUAUUUGAUUUGGUUAUAUCUUUCUUUGUUGAUUUGGAGAAUGAAAUUUUGAUUUCUUGAUUUGGUGUUUUACUUUCUUGAGUCUUUGAUUGCUUAAUUUCAGGGUUUGUUAUAAACGAGAUCCUAAGGAUCAAGAAUCAAGAAUUUCAUACAAUCGCACUUCUCUUCUUUACAUGAAAAUUUCUUAAAAUUCAUUUGAUAAUUAUUGUUUUCUUAAGAUUUUCAUAUAAUUAAUUAAUUCUUUAUGAUACUCGAGAUCAUUUAUCGGUUUUGCAGUGAAACCUCUUGAUACAUGGGACAAAAACGGCUCCAGCUAGAUAAAUCAAAUUUCUUUAUUAGGUUCUUAAUAAUUUUGAUUUGAUUGGAAGGCAUACAAAUUGAAUUUUAAACAUGUUCUUAAUUUAUUCUGCAGCGUGGUGGUUUGUCAAACUAAGCGGGAAUUUGGUGAUGUCUGUUACAUUUUUUUCUUUUCAAAAUUUCUUCAUUGUUUUCUAUGUAUAAUAUUAAAUCCGUUAAUAUUUUUUGAUUCAGUGAUCUCUUUGGUUUUUCAGGAGAAAUAAUCUAUGAAAACACGAUUUGCUCUGGUUCUAUCUUUCUUCCUCUAAUUUUGUAUUAUUUUUCAUUUCUGGGUUCGUGUGCGAUACAUAAAAAUUGGAUCAUGAACUUUCUUUUUCAGAUUGUUUUGUCCAAAUAAUAAACUCAUUCAUAGCAUAGAACCUCAACUCUUAAUUUGGUAAUAUGUAGUAAAUCAAAUUUGUUUAAAUCUUUAUUGAUUUUGAGAACAAAUAGUCCAUGAUUUUGUUGAUUUUGCAGCUAAAGUCAAGGUAUUCUUGAUUCAAUUGUGUGGUUUGUCAAAAUAAUGAUCUCCUUCAUUCAUAGCAUGGAGCCUCUUUUUGUUCAAUCUUUAGUGUUGUUGGAGAGCAUGUAUGAUUUGGAUGUCUAGAGUCUAGAGUUUGCAUGAUCUUCUUUCUACUUUCUUUCGUUUUUUGAUCCAUUAGCCACAUGUUGUUUUCUCCUUGAUUGCUUAAUUUCAGGUUUUCCUAUGAGCGAGAUCUUAGGGUUAUACUUCUCUUCAAUCUUCUUUUACAAUCCGUUAUCAAGAAUUAUUUCUGUAAUUUUUGGAUUGUUAAAUUGUUAAUUUACUUUUUGGUGUUACAUGAGAGGAUAUGAUUCCGAUUUCUUGAUUCUGAAGUUUGUUUAUUCUUGUUCAAACUUUCUUUCGUUUCUGGUUUUCUUAACCUGUUUGCUCCAUGAUUGCUCGAUUUCAGGGUUCUCCUGCUAAACGUGAGCAUAGAUGUCAUGAAUUUUAACUCUUCUCUUGACUCUUUGUUUACAAAUUCGUUAUCAAAACAUGUCUCUGUAUUUUUUGGGAUAUAAUUCUUCAUUUGAUAAUCUGGCGAUGCAUUUAUCCAUCUUGCAGUGAGCUGUAAAGUCUGCAUUAUCUAGAAAGUUUUUAUACACCUGAAAAGAACAACAGCUCCAGAUAGAUAAAUAUCAAAUUUCUUUAUUGAGCCAUUCUUUAUUAUUUUAAUUUCUGGCAUUCAAUUGCAAGACGUACGAAUUGAAUUUUGAACAUAUUUUCCUGCAGCAUAGUUGUCUUCAUGGCAUGGAGCCUAGCAUUUUUAUUCGGUGAUCUCUAUUAAAUUCUUCACAUUUUAUAAAAAAAAAUUAUUGACACCCUAUUUCCUUUUUUUUUUUGUUUUUUUUUUUGUUAUUUACUCUUCCAUGUUGCAGGAGAAGUGAUCGUUGAACAUACUCUGGUUCUAUUGAUCUUCCUCUUGGUUAUAUCUCAGAAGUUCAACUUUAGGUUUUCUAACACCAUCAUACUGCUGAUUCCUUAAAUUUUGGUUUUUGAUGUAAUCUGACAGUGUGAUAGUUUACACAAUUUUGGAGAAAUUGAGACUCUGCUUUGAUGUAAUCUCAUUUAGGUUUUCUUACUUUCGUUAAAUUAGAUAAUCGAGAUAUAUGUUUAACCAUUUUGCAGCAGGUGGCAGAAUUCUUGAAAACUAGAAACAUUUUACGAUUCUUGACACAACGGAUAUGAACAGAGUGGCUUCAAAUAGAUAAAUCAAAUUUCUUCAGUGAUUCAUUCUUUAUUUGUUUUUAAUAUCAAGCUAUUGAUUAUGAGAAGAGUUGAACUGUGAACAUGCUUUUUCUGCAGCUUGGUGUGUCUAAGUCCUUCUGAGUAUGGAGCCUUGAGUAUUUUUCUGGUGAUCUCUAUCUAGUAAAUUCAUCCCUUCAAUGCUACUGAGAGCAUAUAUUUCACACUCUGUCAUGUUUUUCUUUUCUUUCUUUCUAUUUAUGUUAUUUUUCGAUAUAAGUCUUCCUUUGAUAAUCGAAGAUUCGUUUAUCCGUUGUACUGUUAGCAGGGAAGUCUUGAAAUCUAGGAGACUUGAUGUAAUGGACAAGAACGGGGGAACACGAUUUUUCUUUAAUGAGUCCUUUAUUAUUUAAAUUUUUUUGGGAUUUGAUAGCAAGGCAUAGAGCCUAGUGUAUUUAUAAACAUUGAAUUUUGAACAUUUUUGUCUGCAGCACGGUUUGUCAAACCGAUGACUUCCUUCGCAGCAUAGAGCCUAGUGUAUUUAUUUGGUGAUAUCUAUCAUAAUCUAUUUGUUUUCAAUAUUUCUUUUACUACUCUGAGAGUGAAUAUUUCUUGAUUUGUUACUCUUUGGUGUUGCAGGAGCAAUAAUCUAUGUAUGAUUUCUUACGAUUCUAUCUAUCAUUCUCUUGUUUGAUCCUCAUGUUAUUCUUUUUUGGUUGAUUCUUUGGUAGACUGAUGUUUGCAGUUCUUAUGUAAUGAUCUGAUUGUUUAGUUUGUUUGGGUUAUAAUUGAUUGUUCUCUAAUUUCUUUGUUACAGCAAGUAUUAUUAAUCGUCAACAGAUGUUGUUUUGUGUUUAAGGUUUGAGUAAUAGGUAACAGUUAUGUUUUGUGGAACUUGGAAACAUAGCUGGAGUUCUGAUAUGUCUAACAACGGCUUGGUUUGGAGAUUUAAACUAUCUUCCUUCUGUUUGUCAGGGUUAAGUGUUACAUAGGUUUGAAGUGCAACAGAAGUCUCCAAUCACAUUUCACUUUAAGUUUUCCUUCUGAAAUGGAGAAAUUGGUUUGUGCUACUUACUUAUAAAAAGGAUAUUUUAUUUGAUAUAGACUUUCGACUGUUGAUAGGAUUGAGUUGCCAAUCUGAACAUAGGGAGAAAUUGGUGAUUAGUGCCUCUUUCCUUUGUACUAUUUAUCUUCUGUCAACUAAUUAACAAGGAUAAAUGAUUUGAUAUACGUAAUUAACAAGAAUACGUGACUUGACAUAAAAUUUCAACUGUUGCUAGGAUUGAUUUGGCAAUCUGGACUUGGGGAGAAAUUGGUGGAGAUGAGUGCCUCUAUCUUUUGUACUACUUAACUUCUGUCAACUAAUUAAUACAUGAUUUGAUAUACGUUUUAGUCUAUUGCUAGGAUUGAUUUGGCAAUCUGAAUUUAGCGAGAAAUUGGUGGAGUGCCUCCAUUUGUACUACUUAUCUUCUGUCAACUAAUUAACAACAUGAUUUAUGUUUUCAACUGUUGCUAGGAUUAAUUUGGCGAUCUGAACUUAGGGAGAAAUUGGCGGAGAUGAGUGUCUCUGUCCUUUUGUUUGUACUACUUAUCUUGUUUCUAUGAUCAACGUAGUUUUCAUUGAUAUUUGUAAUUUAUGAAGAUGUCAUCUUCAUUACAGUGGCCCAAGGACUCCUGUAUUUGAGUUUUAUGUGUGUGAUACGGAGGAGAAACCUAUAAAUGUGGCAGGAAGCGAGGUUCCAUUCAGCCUUGGGAUAAAAAUGGUAAUUUUCUAGCGGUGUCCUCUUAUGGUUUCUUGCAAGUGUCAAGUUUUUGUUGAUCUGUAUCAGGAGUGAGUAUGAAGCAUAUAAGAAUUCUGGACUGGUUUGACACUUUACUUUGUUGAUUUGUCCCUUCCUCUGCUAUAAUCCUUUUCUAUUUUAACACACAACUUUGCACUUUACUGUUUAUACAAAUGAUUUGUUAGAGAAAUUCAAGGUUGUUUUUUUAUUUAUAUCAAACUGUUUCUUCCUAUGUGUGUUAUUGAAUGAAUUAUGAAGGAGUUGCCUCAACAUGUUGAAAAUUUUGAGAAAAUGCAAGUCAUGUUGACUAUCCUUGAACUUCUUUUAGCAAGUCUUUUUUAAGCACAUCCUUCCUGUUCUUGUUUUGAACAAAGUAAGUAUAAAAAAUUAGGAGAGAACCUCAAAACAAAAUCUGGCUAAACCACAACAACUUCAAACACAAAUAUAAAAACAUGAGGGGGUGCCUAAAGCUCAGACCGAAUCCUAGCAAUGCAUCAAACUUCCUAACCUUCGCACUAGAAACGUACCAAAAUUCAAUAUGUGGACUAAUGCUUCCGCAAUUUCCUAAGUUCUUUGUCCACUGCAUUGUCUAUUUCUCGAAUCCACUGCAUCAUGGGUAAUGAGAUACCUGAAAACAAGUAUAAAAUUUCAUUGCAAAUUCUUCAUUUCAAUUCAAGAUGGCCUUAUCCAACUAGUAAGACAUCAUAUUAGCACAUAUAGUACAUAUGGAUCGAGCACCAAGCAUAUCAUGCACUACUACUACCUAUAUUGUUAAUCUCAAAUAGCACCGAGUGAAACUGACAAAGGCGCUUCGAGGGCCUUGGGUGGGACAGUGGGGGAUGUGUGACUAUGCCACACCGCCAUAGCACGCUACUAACAAUAGACAACAUUUAAAGUAUGUUCAAUGAGCAAACAGUUACUAAUAAUCACAAUCUAUUCUAUUAAAUAUUUCAUCAAUCACCUGAUAUAAAAAUAAAUAAACAACCCAUCAUAAAAUUUCAUAAACAAUGAAGACGCCCUACUUGACAGAUUCAUCACAAACAAGUAAUUGAGGAGAAAACUGAGAAAAUGAAUUGAAAUACCUUUUCUACCAUUCUUACGAAUGCCAUCUUCAAAGCGACAUUCUCGAGAAUGUCGAUCCGAAUUUGUUUCUUCCAAGAUUUCACGCAAACUAUCUUGUGUCCAUCUUUUGAGGAACCAAGAUCAAAGACAACGAUUUCGUCGUCGGGAUCGGAUUCUGAAUAUGCACUCAAAAGAUGGACGAAAUCUGAUCCCGACGACGAAAUCGUUGUCUGUGAUCUUGGUUCCUCAAAAGAUGGACACAAGAUGGUUUGCGUGAAGUCUUGGAAGAAACAAAUUUGGAUCGACAUUCGCGAAUGUUACUUUGAAGAAGGCAUCCGGAAGAAUGACAGAAAAGGUAUUCAUUUUCUCAGUUUUCUCCUCAAUUACUUGUUUGUGAUGAAUCUGUCAAGAAGGGCGUCUUCGUUGUUUAUGAAAUUUUAUGAUGGGUUGUUUAUUUAUUUUUAUAUCAGGUGAUUGAUGAAAUAUUUAAUAAAAUAGAUUGUGAUUAUUAGUAAUUGUUUGGUCAUUGAACAUACUCUAAAUGUUCUCUAUGAUGUUAGUAGCGUGCUAUGGCGGUGUGGCAUAGUCACACAUCCCCCACUGUCCCACCCAAGGCCCUCGAAGCGCCUUUGUCAGUUUCACUCGGUGCUAUUUGAGAUUAACAAUAUAGGUAGUAGUAGUGCAUGAUAUGCUUGGUGCUCUAUCCAUAUGUGCUAAUAUGAUGUCUUACUAGUUGGAUGAGGCCAUGUUGAAUUGAAAUGAAAUUUUAUACUUGUUUUCAGGUAUCUCAUUACCCAUGAUGCGGUGGAUUAAGCUUCGUAGCUGCAUUCGAGAAAUAGACAAUGCAGUGGACUAGGAAAUUGCGGAAGCAUUAGUCCACAUAUUGAAUUUUGGUACGUUUCUAGUGCAAAGGUUAGGAAGUUUGAUGCAUUGCUAGGAUUCGGUCUGAGCUUUAGGCACUUACUCAUGUUUUUAGAUUUGUGUUUGAAGUUGUUGUGGUUUAGCCAGAUUUUGUUUUGAGGUUCUCUCUUAAUUUUUUUUUAUACCUACUUUGUUCAAAACAAGAACAGGAACGAUGUGCUUAAAAAAGACUUGCUAAAAGAAGUUCAAGGAUAGUCAACAUGACUUGCAUUUUCUCAAAAUUUAACAUGUUGAGGCAACUCCUUCAUAAUUCAUUCAAUAACACACAUAGGAAGAAACAGUUUGAUAUAAAUAAAAAAACAACCUUGAAUUUCUCUAACAAAUCAUUUGUAUAAACAGUAAAUGAUUUGGUUCUGACUUUUAUUUUCAUACAUGUUAAAUUGAAAAUAUGUUGUUUUGAUGCAAUGUUGUGUGUUAAAAAACAGUAACAUUCAGUUUGGUUCCUUUCUUUUUUGCCGAUUUUUAUUGAUGUUCAAUUGAGAAGAUCACCCUUAGAAGUUGUUGCUAUCAAUACUACUUCUUUCAACAGUGCAAAGUUUAUGCCAUUCUAGAGAUGCUGGGAUAGCUUGAUGGGGCCGCUCUUUGUUAUGCUGCUGAUCUUCAACUUGAUUAGAGGAAUCAGGCUGCUAUUCUUUCUCUCUUAGUUCUUUUUGUUGCAACCUAUUUGUUACAGCAUAAUUUUCUGUACAUUUUCAUCUGGUGUUAACAGGGUUAGUGUUACAUGGGUUUGGUGUACCACAAAUGUUAAUUCUUUCUCAAUCACACUGCACCUUUUCAAUAGUGUCUGGAAAGUGGAGAAAUUGAAGAUAACUGUCUUUGUUUGAGACUCUUCAACUUCCCUCUGUUCUUUUGAACAGACUAUGAAUAUUUGGUCUGCUGUGGUCUGUGGAAGCCAAAGGUUAACAUACUAUUUAUUCUGAAUCGCCUGGUUUGGAGUUUAUUUGUUCUCGAAAUCUGCCAUUCUUUUUGUUAUCUGUGAUAUAUGAGAAUAAGAAUCUUUUCCGCCAAAUCUGUAUAUCUUUGUCACAGCAAGGAAUCAUAAAUUUAUGUUGUUGCACAUGGAGCAGAAAUCUGCAAUUAGCUGUGACUUAAUUCUGACUAUUCGGUAUACUUCCACUUGGUGAUCUCCACUCUAAAUACUAAUUCGUCACGGGUGUCUCUUAGGAAUUUAGUUUUCUUGAUUCCUUAAGUUCCAUGUGUCUGUUAUAGGGGGAUGGGACUGCAAAAGCUAUGGCGAGAAUAAGAAGUUCUGCGAUAGCCUAUGAAUGUAAUGUGGGAUGGUAUAAGUUGUGGUAUUCAGGACUUGCUUUGAGAUCUGGGUUUAAACCGUUUAUUUUUCCUUGAAUAAUUUUUCUGGAUUGGAAUUGUUUUCUUUUCAUGGUGUCAUGUGGUAAUGUUGAUUUGUGUGUUGUUUAUCAGGAAUCUGGGUAUAAGAAGAGCUUUAGAAUAACAACAAUUUCCUCGUAUAACUUUGGAAAAAUGGGAUUCUAGAGUUUUGGACAGCUUGGGUCGGCUCUUAGUAUUUGGAUGUUGGCGUCUUAGUUUGGGGGAGCUUUUCUAUACCACUUUUGAUAAAAGCACAAGCAUAGUUAUACUUCUGUUUAGUACAGAUCAAACAGUAUGUCAAAGGUCGCUUGUGUCCGUGCAUUAUGUUUGUUUGCAACCUCUUUGCUUAAGUUUGGUAGUCUCCUAUCCUUUUUCCUUCCUCAACAGCACCGAUCUUGGUUGUGAGUUUUAUCGAAUGGUUUGUGUAUACUUUACUAUUAACAAAGGUGGUGUCCGGACUCCUCGCUUACGAAUCUACAUGGGUUGCGGAAGUUGCGGAUGAUAUUACCACAGAGGAUGAUGAGUUUUUGGCAGCCUGAGGAUUUCAAGUGUCAAUUAACUUCCUCUUUAAAUGGUGUACGCUCUUUGUUAUAGCAGAAAGUACUCUAUUUGUUAUGCCAGAACCACAUUUGUCCCGGUUGGCCUACUUGUCUCAUUUAGUUUUUUCGCAUAGUCCGAUGAGUAUCUGAUGGUGAUCUAGUAACAUGAUCACAGGAUGUAGCAGUCUUUAGAAAACCAUUGGUUAGGGAGGGCAAAGAAUUAAGUUUGGAAGGGAUUUUUACUUUUCUUUUGUACCAUGGUAAGAGAAGGAACUAAGCUAUGUUAAGACAAGUUUUAUGUUUUUAAUGUAUCAUUGAUCAAUUUAUUUAUCCCAAUUCUGUUUUCUAUUUCA